GACAAACGCUGGCGGCGUGCUUAACACAUGCAAGUCAAGGAGAACGGGAAUCUUCGGAAUCCCCAGUAAACUGGCGAAAGGGUGAGUAACGCGUAGGUAACCUACCCUCGAGUGAGGAAUAACCCGCCGAAAGGCGGGCUAAUACUGCAUGAUGUUUCGGGAUCGCAUGGUCCUGAAAUUAAAGAUUUAUCGCUUGAGGAUGGGCCUGCGUCCUAUUAGUUUGUUGGUGAGGUAAAAGCUCACCAAGACUACGAUGGGUAGCUGGUCUGAGAGGAUGGUCAGCCACACUGGCACUGAGACACGGGCCAGACUCCUACGGGAGGCAGCAGUGAGGAAUAUUGGGCAAUGGGCGAAAGCCUGACCCAGCAACGCCGCGUGGGCGAUGAAGCUCUGUGGAGUGUAAAGCCCUGUUAGGAGGGAAGGAAUUCCGCCUUAGGCGGAUUGACGGUACCUCCAGAGAAAGCUCCGGCUAACUCCGUGCCAGCAGCCGCGGUAACACGGGGGGAGCAAGCGUUGUCCGGAUUUACUGGGCGUAAAGAGCGUGUAGGCGGGAUAGUAAGUCAGCGGUGAAAUCUCUCGGCUCAACCGAGAACCUGCCUCUGAUACUGUUAUCCUUGAGUACGGAAGAGGGAAGUGGAAUUCCUGGUGUAGCGGUGAAAUGCGUAGAUAUCAGGAAGAACACCAGUAGCGAAGGCGGCUUCCUGGUCCGUAACUGACGCUGAGACGCGAAAGCGUGGGGAGCAAACAGGAUUAGAUACCCUGGUAGUCCACGCCGUAAACGAUGGGCACUAGGUGUUGGAGGUUUCGACCCCUUCAGUGCCGCAGCUAACGCAUUAAGUGCCCCGCCUGGGGAGUACGGUCGCAAGACUGAAACUCAAAGGAAUUGACGG
This 890-nucleotide ribosomal RNA is filed under the name uncultured bacterium. RNAcentral describes it as "bacterial SSU rRNA". It matches the Rfam family "Bacterial small subunit ribosomal RNA", at positions 28 to 916 of the family's 1533-position model. The record is from RNAcentral.